ACCCGCGGCCAGCAACCUGGAGACGCCGCUCUUUUUUGGGUGCGGGGAGUUCCGGAGGCUGUGGGGCGGAGAAGCGAAAUGCCACCCUCUCUCGAGCUCUGAAGCAAAUGACGAUACGGAGCGCUCUCGCCCCCUCCCAACACAGUGGGAGCCCUUGAUUCGAUCCCGAAGGAGGCGAGCGAGCAAGAGCCUGGAUCUACAUGGCUCGCGUGUCCCUUCCGCUUUCCGCACCCCCACGCAGACCUCGCCGAGGCUACGCGGCGCUCCGGGAGCUGUUCCGAGCUCCGAGUGGGGCAGGGAGUUGAAGUUUUCUUGCCAUCAGAUUAUUUUGAAAUACUGAGAAUGCGGCUUGUGGGAAACCAAAAGCUCCGUGGGCUCAUGGACGUGUCUGCCAACUUGGGGCUAAGUGUCAUGAAUCUGAGAAGCAAGUUGCAUGCCCACCUCCCACCUACGUCACUCCUCCCGAAGCCUCUUUUUCCGGCCUAAUGCCUCCACUGGGCCACUUGCAAGUCUUGCCACUGCUUAGGGAAAGGGUCUGCACCCGGGCGCAGGGCAGCAAAGGCCGGGGGCGGCGUGCGCGGUGCACGGCGAGUGCGGCUCCAGCUGCGCCCGCAGAGGCGCUGCACCUUGGCGCCUGCAGCAGGAGAGCAGCCAGCCAGCAGCUCCGGUACUUCGACUGCUGCCGAGUCUCCAAGGAGGCUGCAAGAACCCAGAGUCGCAGCCGAUUGGUUCCCUAGCUGCACUGGGACCACCCCUUCGCACCACCGCGACCGCGAUGCCUCCCGCCUCCGCUACCCACCUCUUUAAUCAAAGCCAAAGAUUGCAUCCUCCCCGCUCUAUUGUGGCUAGAGGGAAGCGGGGGCCUCUGCGGGGUUGCCCAGGCAGCGCAACAAUCCUGGGUACAGAACUAGCUAAGUCCCUCCUCCAGAUUGCGACUCCCGCAUUUCUUUCAGAAAAAAAUAAUAAUAAGUAUUUGUUCCCUCCACUCCUUCGGAGCCAUAUCCCAGCUUUUCUUUUUACAAACAAUGAGUUACCUAAAACUCCUCCUUCCCCUAGGAAGGACUGCCCUUUCCCCACCUUCCACACACAUAUUCCUGGAUCCCACUUACUCCAUGCUCCCUUACCUUCCUAGCCUACGGCUUUAUUGAAGAAAAAAGAAGCUAAGAAAGAAAAGAAAUAAGAAGCUUUGCAUUGAAAUACUGUCAAGGCCCUUGUUUUGGUUGCUGCUGCUCCCCAGGCUAUGCUGCUGCUAUAGCUCUAACCCCAAAUCGCUCUGCGGCCAGACGGGAUAAAUAUUUUCUGACAUGUCCCAGCAAUAUUGGGCUUCCAAACCUGCUACUGUCCCUCCCUUUGCCCCCUUCCUUCUUUUAAAUGUUUCUAAAACUGUCAUCUCCCUAGCUUCACAUGAGUGCGCUUGCCCCCAAUUCAGUAUUGGGAGGUCACCUUACAGAAGAGAUUUAGAGACUGGAUGAGAUCCCAGGUUCCUCAAUUCAACGUUUUAUUAAGAGGGCAUAGUAAGAUCAGGAAGUUUUCAACAUCCCUGGAGGAUGUCUUUAGAACAGGACUGGACCUCCAAGGAAUUGGAAGAGAGUCGCUGAGCUGAGCUAGGAAUUCAUCAUUCUUGAUGCAAGUGAGAGUCUGGAGGUAUUUAUUCGUUCAACAACUUGCUUAGUUCCAGGAGUUCCCAUUGUGGCUCCGUGGGUUAAGAACACGAUGCAAUGUCCCUGAGGACACGGGUUCCAUCCCUGGCUUCAAUCAGUGGGUUAAGGAUCCAGCAUUGCUGCAAGCUGCAGUGUAAGUCACAGAUGCAGCCUGGAUCCAGUGUGGCUGUGGCUGUGGCCUAGGCUCCAGCUGCAGCUCGGAUUUGACCCCUGGCCCCUGGCAUAUAGAAACUUCUACAUGCUGCAGGCGCAGCCGUAAAAAGAAAAAAUGAAAACACUUUGCUUAAUUCCAGGUAUAUCUCAGACCUCUCGAGCCCACAUUCUUGUGGGAGAGACAAGGAAUUGGACUAUACCUUAUAAUGUUAGGGGAAAAAAACUUUUAAGGAGAUAGAGAGUGAUAAAUAUAGAUUUGCAUGGAUAAGAAGGGCCUCCCUGCAGAGGUAACAUUUGAGCAAAGGACUUCAAGAAGAAAGAGAUCAAAGAACAGGAAUGUCAGGAGGAUGGAAGAGCAAAUGCAAACAUUCUAAGGCAAAGACAAGCUCAGCAUAUUUGGGAAACAAAAGAGGGCUGGAAAGAAGUGAGCAAGGAAGAGGGAUGGAGAAAGUGGGUCAGAAAAGUGGGCAGGCAGAUCAUGCAGGGCCUCUUAAGCCACUCUACAAAUAUUUCGUUUGCUUCUGAGUGCAAGAGGAAGAUAUUGGAGAACUUGCAUCCCUGCAGUAACAUAAUAUGAUUUGCCGUUUUUAAUGGUUAUUCUGGCGGCUAGAAACAGAGUGUGAGAGCUGGAGGUUAUCAAGUAACACAAGCAAAGAUGGUUUAAACAAGGAAGAUAGUGGUGGGCAUAGGAUUACAUUGUGAAAACUGAGAUGAGGAGUUCCCUCUGUGGCGCAAUGGAAUUGGAGGUGUCUCUGCAGCGCCAGGACUCAGGUUCAAUCCCUGGUUCCAGUGGGCUAAAGGAUCCAGCAUUGCCACAGCAGAGGCAUACAGCUGUGGCUGGGAUCUGACCCCUGGCCUGGGACCUCCAUUUGCCACUGGGUGGCCAAAAAAAACCAAAGAUGACAGGAUUUUGGAUGUGGGGGAAGGACACAUGUCAAGAAUGUCUCCUAGGUCCAAAGUCUUAGCAACUAGGUGGAUGGUGACGUCAUUUACUGGAGGAGUGUGCUGGACAGCACCUGUCCCACUGGAUUGUGAGCCACACAAAGUCUGGGACCGUGUGUGUCUUAGUUACUACUGUCCUGGGCUAUGGAGGCCUUUCCUCAGAAUCUCCUUGCUUCUCCAUUCUUUCCUCAGGCCACUUGCCCUGUCUCAGCUGCUGCUGAAACAGCCAGCUCUGUGAAGGCAGCAGAGUUCUGCCUAAUGAGGUUGCAAUGCAUUCCAGUGCAACGCGUGGAAACUGGAUUCCUCAAGAUGGCAAAAAGGUCCAAGUGACCAGCACAGCCACAUGGAGGCAUCAACUCAGUGGACCAUUGAGAGUUGCCUGGUAGGAGAUAUGGGGUAGGAUGGAGCCUGGAGAUAAAUUCUCUCUCUUCAGUCUUUUCAAGGACAAGUAACCACAUGGUCUAGUGACAAGGCUGCAUCUCCUUGUGGUUCAUGAAGUAGUGGCCAGCUUGUAACUAACUACGUUGGUUUUUUUUUUUUUUUUUUUUUGUCUUUUUGCCAUUUCUUGGGCCACUCCCGCGGCAUAUGAAGGUUGCCAGGCUAGGGGUUGAAUUGGAGCUGUAGCAGCCUGCCUACGCCAGAGUCACAGCAACGUGGGAUCCGAGCCACAUCUGCAACCUACACCACAGCUCACAGCAACGCUGGAUCCUUAACCCACUGAGCAAGGCCUGGGAUCGAACCCGCAACCUCAUGGUUCCUAGUUGGAUUUGUUAACCACUGCGCCACCACGGGAACUCCUCACCACGUUGUUUUUGCACCCUUUCUUCCCCUUUUCCCUUCUUCUCCCUGCCCAGGAUCACACCUUCCAUUAACAUAUUGUCUCAGGUUCUGUUUUCUAGGGAACCUGGGCUGAGGUAGGCAUCCAGCCUUCAGUCCGAGACCUGUUAAGUUUGAGCAAGCUGUUAAAUAGCCAGUGCAGAUGCUGAGUGGGAAACUGGACAUGCAAGUCAGUCUAUACAGUUCAGAGGAGAGAUCUAGGUAGAUCCGGGUUUUUCAGCCUUGGCACUUGGUCUGGGUGCUUUUUGGUUGUGGAUAGCAUUUUUGUUUUGUUACUCUGCAUUUUUGGAGGUUCCGCAGCAUUCCUGCCUUCUACCUGCCAGCUGCCAGUGGCACCUGCUCCCAGUUAUGACAUGUCUCCAGACAUUGCCAAAGUUUCCCUGAGUUGGGGGGGGGGCAAAAAUCACCCCCUUUGGGAACCACUGGGGUGGAUAGUAGUUAAAGCCAGAAUCCUGGACUAGCACACUGGGACAUGAAGGCAGAAAGAGAAGAGGCAGUGUUCAGAGACUGCACCUCAGGAUGCCCUAAUUCUUCGAGGUCAAAGAAGGAAGUACCUGCAAGGGAGAUGGAGAAAGAGUGACUGGUAAGGUCAGCAACGGGAGAGCGCGCGGGGGGGUGGGGUCUGUGAAAGCAAAGGAGUACAGUGUUCCAAGAAGGAGAGGGAAGGAUUGAUUUUGUUAAACUCUGCAAAUAGAUUGAAUAGAAUGAGGACAUUAGAACCAACUACUGGGUUUAGAAAAACGGAGUUGAGGAGAUAGAAAGCCCCUUCUCUUUCGGUCAUCUUGGAGCCUGUUGAGGCCUGCAGGGAAGAAGGCUUCAAAAACAACAAAUACGAUGGGAAGGUUGUGGUCCAAAGUCUUUUAUUCUGGUUAUAAGUGGGGUCUCCGGAAGCAGAGGAAGCACACGGCUCUUCUUAAAAUUGAAGGUGUUUAUGCCUGAGAUGAAACUGAAUUUUAUCUAGGCAAGAGAUGUGCUUAUGUGUACAAAGCAAAGAAUAACACAGUGACGCCUGGAAGAAAAUCUAACAAAACCAGAGUAACCUGGGGAAAGGUAACGCGUGCUCAUGGCCCCAGUGGCAUGGAUCGGGCCAAAUUCCAAAGCAACCUUCCAGCUAAGGCCAUUGGACACAGAAUCCAUGUGAUGCUGUACCCGUCAAGGAUUUAAACUUAUUGAAAAAUAAAUAAA
This 4778-nucleotide long non-coding RNA is filed under the name Sus scrofa (pig). RNAcentral's name for it is "lncRNA (ENSSSCG00040027340.1)". Lineage: Eukaryota; Metazoa; Chordata; Mammalia; Artiodactyla; Suidae. The record is from RNAcentral.